Molecule: long non-coding RNA, 700 nt
Filed under: Homo sapiens (human)
Lineage: Eukaryota; Metazoa; Chordata; Mammalia; Primates; Hominidae
Description: HSALNT0397787
Source: RNAcentral
AUCACCCGGUUGGAUCCAUCAUCGGACCCCAAGAGGAGUCCGCGCAGCCCAGCCGGCAUCCCGAAGCUCCUCCUUCAGCGGGAACCGAAGCAGAAGAGCGAUCAAGGAGGUCCUCACCACAGGACUCCUAUGGGUCCGACCCUGGGUCUCCCGCAGGCCCCUCUGGCAGUCCUCUUCCCACCCGCCGCCUCGGGCUGCGCCGCCACCGCCGCCACCGCAACCUCCAGCACCGCCGCCCCAGGCCCCGCAGCCGCCGCGUCGCCGCCAUUUUUUAAAGGGUCCGCAGCCUGACUCUGCGGAGUAAGGGGGGGUGGAGCGGGGGAGUCGGCCUCGCCAGUGCGCAUGCGCGAGGCCCAAGCCGCCGCUUGGGUCACAGUGAAAGCCACCGUUGCCCGGGGAUGGGUCCCUGACACUUGGCGAAGUAGGAGCCCUGUGUGAUCGUGCGUCUGAGUCUGGGCUGAGACCAGUCCUGGCCAGGGCAUUUACCAGGACGGUCUCCGGAGGCCGGGAUUCGCGGAGGGUCCACCAGCAGGAAGAAACCCCAGGAGGAAGAAAACUCAGACAGAUCGCCGGCGAGGCAGCGCGGCAUCCCAGCCUCAGGCGUGCGCGGACGGUGUGCGGCCUCUCCCCGCGUCUCUGCCUGGGUCGUGUGGCCGGUUGGCAGUCGUCGUCCCGGCAGUUCCAGUUUGGGGGUCUGUGA